This 450-nucleotide ribosomal RNA is filed under the name uncultured bacterium. RNAcentral's name for it is "partial 16S ribosomal RNA". It matches the Rfam family "Bacterial small subunit ribosomal RNA", at positions 354 to 796 of the family's 1533-position model. The record is from RNAcentral.
GUGGGGAAUAUUGGACAAUGGGCGAAAGCCUGAUCCAGCCAUGCCGCGUGUGUGAAGAAGGUCUUCGGAUUGUAAAGCACUUUAAGUUGGGAGGAAGGGCAGUAAGUUAAUACCUUGCUGUUUUGACGUUACCGACAGAAUAAGCACCGGCUAACUUCGUGCCAGUAGCCGCGGUAAUACGAAGGGUGCAAGCGUUAAUCGGAAUUACUGGGCGUAAAGCGCGCGUAGGUGGUUUUGUAAGUUGGAGGUGAAAUCCCCGGGCUCAACCUGGGAACUGCCUCCAAAACUGCAUGACUAGAGUACGGUAGAGGGUAGUGGAAUUUCCUGUGUAGCGGUGAAAUGCGUAGAUAUAGGAAGGAACACCAGUGGCGAAGGCGACUACCUGGACUGAUACUGACACUGAGGUGCGAAAGCGUGGGGAGCAAACAGGAUUAGAUACCCGUGUAGUCC